Molecule: ribosomal RNA, 406 nt
Filed under: uncultured bacterium
Lineage: Bacteria
Description: partial 16S ribosomal RNA
Rfam family: Bacterial small subunit ribosomal RNA
Source: RNAcentral
AUUGAACGCUGGCGGCAGGCCUAACACAUGCAAGUCGAACGAGUGGCGGACGGGUGAGUAAUGUAUGGGAAACUGCCUGAUGGAGGGGGAUAACUACUGGAAACGGUAGCUAAUACCGCAUACUAUCGGAUGUGCCCAUAUGGGAUUAGCUAGUAGGUGGGGUAAAGGCUCACCUAGGCGACGAUCCCUAGCUGGUCUGAGAGGAUGACCAGCCACACUGGGACUGAGACACGGCCCAGACUCCGACGGGAGGCAGCAGUGGGGAAUAUUGCACAAUGGGCGCAAGCCUGAUGCAGCCAUGCCGCGUGUAUGAAGAAGGCCUUAGGGUUGUAAAGUACUUUCAGCGGGGAGGCGUUACCCGCAGAAGAAGCACCGGCUAACUCCGUGCCAGCAGCCGCGGUAAUAC